CUUCAAUGGAGGCAGCUUCAGAUUUUCGAAUCCUUUCAUCUGCUGUAACUGCUGUAACUGUUGUUGUAGUAGUUGUUCUCGUUGCAGCUGCUGCUGUUGCUGUUGUGGAGGUGGUUGCUGGCCCUUGUGGUCUUUCCCAACACCACCUCCACUCUUCUGGAGCUUGCCAUUGUCUUUGGGUUGGCCUUUCCUUUGCUCGGGCUGUGGCUUCUGAAAUUGGUUGUUGCUGCUGCUGCUGCUGCAGUUGAUGUUGUUGCCACCCUUUGGAGCCAACAGCUCUGCAUGCUUGCCAGCCUUUCCAAGCUUUUU
RNAcentral lists this long non-coding RNA (309 nucleotides) under Elaeis guineensis (African oil palm). RNAcentral describes it as "long non-coding RNA (EGUI_LNC031383)". The record is from RNAcentral. Lineage: Eukaryota; Viridiplantae; Streptophyta; Magnoliopsida; Arecales; Arecaceae.